Molecule: unclassified non-coding RNA, 111 nt
Filed under: uncultured Rozellomycota
Lineage: Eukaryota; Fungi; Rozellomycota
Description: uncultured Cryptomycota sequence contains ITS2
Source: RNAcentral
UUUUUUCAUCCUCUCAUUUGGGAGGGACAUGGGCUGUCAUCAGUGACUGCCUGGAAUGCGGCGUGGUUGUGUUGUGAUAAGCACUGAUCGACCGACCAUGGUUGUUCUUGU